GACGAACGCUGGCGGCGUGCCUAAUACAUGCAAGUCGAGCGGACGAAUCGAAAGCUUGCUCUUGAUUCGUUAGCGGCGGACGGGUGAGUAACACGUGGGCAACCUGCCCUGUAGACGGGGAUAACACCGAGAAAUCGGUGCUAAUACCGGAUAACACGAAAUGUCGCAUGACGUUUCGUUGAAAGACGGCGCAAGCUGUCGCUACAGGAUGGGCCCGCGGCGCAUGGGCUAGUUGGUGAGGGAACGGCUCACCAAGGCGACGAUGCGUAGCCGACCGGGGGGGUUGUUCGCCCCCCUGGGACUUAGGCCCCGGCCCAACCUCCUCCGGAGGGCGCCGGUGGGAAUUCUUCCGCAAUGGCCGAAGGUCUGCCGGGGCAACGCCGCUUGGUCGAAGAGGGCCUUCGGUUCGUAAACCUCUUUUUUUGGGGAAGAACAAGUCACGCUGUAACUGGCGCUACCGUGCCGUUACCUAACGAGAAGGCCCCGGCUACCUCCUU
This 497-nucleotide ribosomal RNA is filed under the name uncultured bacterium. RNAcentral's name for it is "partial 16S ribosomal RNA". It matches the Rfam family "Bacterial small subunit ribosomal RNA", at positions 28 to 506 of the family's 1533-position model. The record is from RNAcentral.